This 1816-nucleotide long non-coding RNA is filed under the name Triticum aestivum (bread wheat). Its description in RNAcentral is "long non-coding RNA (TAES_LNC020988)". The record is from RNAcentral. Lineage: Eukaryota; Viridiplantae; Streptophyta; Magnoliopsida; Poales; Poaceae.
CAACACCUCCCGCCUCCCAACAUCGCUGCCUACCCUGCCAUCACCGCAACCACGCAUCACUCCAGCUGGGAUCCAUCGCGCAGUCCACCUCGUCCAUGCGUGCAGUCCCUCCUUGUCCGCUCGCUUGACAGCAGAGGUGAGACCUACCUCUGUGCCUCCUCCUCCACCUUACGGCCAGUUCAAUUUGCUCUAGCAAUUCAAUUUUGUCAUGUGCAUCACCCAGAUGAAUAUGUAUGUGUUUUGUUUAGUAUACAUUGAGUAAAUUUAGUAUUUUUUUUUUCAACUCACUCCAGCAAUCCUAUUAUUUUCAAUUUGACGUUUAUGUGUACAUUGAGAAAGUUGAGUAUUGUCGUGGUCGACAAUGACCAUGACUAGCUAAGUAACUUUGUCCAAUUAUCUAUAUGGGUGCAUAUCUUGUCUUUACUGAAAUGCCUCCACGAACAAGAAUACUAGUUCCAUCAGUUUCAAGUACGUGUGAUGUGGUCCUCUGGUUUUUUAUUCUUUCGUGAAAUUCUUGUAGUGUUCUACAUCUCCUUGUUCUCUCGUAAUGGGGCGUGUACUGGUUUUUCCAUGAAAAUAUUCUGUAGCUAGCUGGUAGUGCAACUACUCUCUCGCCUGUGUUGCUUCCUAUCCUUCCGGUGCCACUGUAACUACUCUCUCGCCUGUGUUAUUGUUCUAUGUGAUGCCUCUGCUUUGUGUCCAUGCCCAACUUGCUGAUGUUUGUCUCUCACUAGGUGCUAAUUCUCUAUCUAAUUGAUUCCGAUCGACAGCAAAUAGUGCUCCCAAAUCUGCAGAAGGAGCUCCUAAUUUUUAUGUCUGAAGUUCAGCUGUACCAUGGUGACACCGUUCAAAAACACUAGCAGGUGAUGUGCUAACCAGCUGCAGGACAUGGUCUCCUCGAGUUGCAGGUCGCACCCUUUACCCAUCUGUGUUGUCACCCGCGCCCUACCCAUUGCAUUUCUUCAAAAGGUUGAGAGUUCUAUUGGGUUAGAAGCCACAGGAGAGCAUUUAAAUUUGUGUUUGCUUUUGAGUAAAUGUUCUAGGGCUGAAUGUUAUCGUACAAUCUUGUUCAAACCAUGAUUUUUCUUCAGAAGGUUUAGAGUUCUAUUGGGUUAGAAACAUGUACAGUUUGUCAGCUUGUUUCAGGUCGUCUAACUCUGGAGUUCUAGAUUGAUUUACUAGGUUGCCCGCGCCGGCCGUCGAAGCCUACCAAGGUGAUGCCUCACUGCUGCCAGCGUCUCCCUGCACCCCUCCUCCACACCACAAGGUCGAUAGAGAUAUCACGUUGUUUCUGUUGCUCUUCUACUACAUCUUCAGGUUCAGAAAAGGAAACAACAACGUUUCACUGCAGUCCAAAUCCAUGUGUGGGGAGAUGCUACAAGUUUGCCGUCCCUCGAUCUGCCGAGAAGCCUCGCCGUCGUGCCUUCUUUUCUUGCAAUCGCGUAGCUUUAGCCUGAUAUGCUCGGCUGAUGCAUCUCUUUCUUUUUGUUUCUUUUUUGCAAACUUCUUGCUUUUCAUACCUCAACUUGUGUAGAUCUUUUUGCAAUACCGACAUAGAGAAGUCUGCACUUCCAACUGACAUUCAAAAGUUCAGCUUGACGCCAUGCGGGACACUGCAGAGCUGUCGUGGUGUCGAUCGAGGCGCUGAAGUCUAGGGCUGUUGCAUGCUCUUUCUUGCUGAGGUCGAGCUAGAGUGCGAUGGUGUCCAUGCUCGCCACCCUUCUAGAGUCUGGUGCUAAUGCGGGCUUUCUCUUGCUAUUUUUUGUCUUACCAUGAGAGGGAUAACAAAUUAUUUAAUGUACCUUUUCUCCUUUAN